GGUGAACCUGCGGAAGGAUCAUUACCGAGUGCGGGUCCUUUGGGCCCAACCUCCCAUCCGUGUCUAUUGUACCCUGUUGCUUCGGCGGGCCCGCCGCUUGUCGGCCGCCGGGGGGGCGCCUCUGCCCCCCGGGCCCGUGCCCGCCGGAGACCCCAACACGAACACUGUCUGAAAGCGUGCAGUCUGAGUUGAUUGAAUGCAAUCAGUUAAAACUUUCAACAAUGGAUCUCUUGGUUCCGGCAUCGAUGAAGAACGCAGCGAAAUGCGAUAACUAAUGUGAAUUGCAGAAUUCAGUGAAUCAUCGAGUCUUUGAACGCACAUUGCGCCCCCUGGUAUUCCGGGGGGCAUGCCUGUCCGAGCGUCAUUGCUGCCCUCAAGCCCGGCUUGUGUGUGGGGUCGCCGUCCCCCUCUCCGGGGGGACGGGCCCGAAAGGCAGCGGCGGCACCGCGUCCGAUCCUCGAGCGUAUGGGGCUUUGUCACAUGCUCUGUAGGAUUGGCCGGCGCCUGCCGACGUUUUCCAACCAUUCUUUCCAGGUUGACCUCGGAUCAGGUAGGGAUACCCGCUGAACUUAAGCAU
Molecule: ribosomal RNA, 577 nt
Filed under: fungal sp. 57519
Lineage: Eukaryota; Fungi
Description: eukaryotic LSU rRNA
Rfam family: 5.8S ribosomal RNA (bases 211-364)
Source: RNAcentral